Molecule: non-coding RNA, 102 nt
Organism: Russula aff. rugulosa BPL654
Lineage: Eukaryota; Fungi; Basidiomycota; Agaricomycetes; Russulales; Russulaceae
Source: the annotation of a GenBank genome assembly
GCCCGCCUAGCUCAAUCGGAUAGAGCGUCAGACUCUUAUAGCGGGUGCACGGUCACUUCAAUUAUAAUCUGAAGGCUGCGAGUUCGACCCUCGCGGUGGGCU